This 29-nucleotide non-coding RNA is filed under the name Mus musculus (house mouse). Lineage: Eukaryota; Metazoa; Chordata; Mammalia; Rodentia; Muridae. The record is from RNAcentral.
UUCGUGGGUGCCGAUGAUAGCUGAGCUCU